This 68-nucleotide microRNA precursor is filed under the name Podarcis lilfordi (Lilford's wall lizard). Lineage: Eukaryota; Metazoa; Chordata; Lepidosauria; Squamata; Lacertidae. The record is from RNAcentral.
UGUGUGUGUGUGUUUGUGUGUGUGUAUGUGUGUGUGUGUGCGCACACACACACACACACACACACAAU